GGCUAGGUAACAUAAUGGUAAUGUAAAAGAUUGCAAAUCUUUUAAUAGCGGUUCAAAUCCGCUCUUAGCUUACA
RNAcentral lists this transfer RNA (74 nucleotides) under Proteomonas sulcata. RNAcentral's name for it is "tRNA-Cys". It matches the Rfam family "tRNA". From Rfam's summary of the family: Transfer RNA (tRNA) molecules are approximately 80 nucleotides in length. Their secondary structure includes four short double-helical elements and three loops (D, anti-codon, and T loops). Further hydrogen bonds mediate the characteristic L-shaped molecular structure. tRNAs have two regions of fundamental functional importance: the anti-codon, which is responsible for specific mRNA codon recognition, and the 3' end, to which the tRNAs corresponding amino acid is attached (by aminoacyl-tRNA synthetases). tRNAs cope with the degeneracy of the genetic code in two manners: having more than one tRNA (with a specific anti-codon) for a particular amino acid; and 'wobble' base-pairing, i.e. permitting non-standard base-pairing at the 3rd anti-codon position. Lineage: Eukaryota; Cryptophyceae; Pyrenomonadales; Geminigeraceae. The record is from RNAcentral.